AUAUAUUUAAGAAAAAGAUGUUGCAAAAUGUAAAUAAGAACAAUUCUAAAAUAAAGUAAGUUUUCGAAAUUAAAAAGUAGCAAAUAGAUAAUUCAUGCAUGCUUUAUUAAAAAUAAUAAAGAAAUACAUUUUUUUUUCUUUUGUAAUAUAUAUGUAUGAGAUUAUUUUUGUUAGACAUAGAAAUACAUAUAUCACAGAGUUUUUUUCAUAUAUAAUCUCAUAUAUAUUAUAUAUGCCAUUUACAAUGUGCUAAGAUAAAUCAGAAGUAAUCUCUUUAUAGUACAUUUGUUAAAUAUUUAAUUUAUUACAAAGAAUUCUCAUAUCCGUACGCGAAAAAUUACAUCUUAAUCAAGAUUUAUCUUGCAUGCAGUUUUCACACAAUACGUGAAUGCAUUAAAAUUUCUGUGAAAUUAAUUUCGCAUUUUACUAGUCAAUUAAUAUUCGUAAAUAUAAUAUUCGCAAAA
Long non-coding RNA from Ooceraea biroi (clonal raider ant), 464 nucleotides. RefSeq lists it as uncharacterized. The record is from RefSeq and is a predicted model, not a curated record. NCBI's taxonomy places the organism in Eukaryota, Metazoa, Arthropoda, Insecta, Hymenoptera, Formicidae.